CAGCCGCCGCGGGAAUACGGAGAGGGCUAGCGUUGUUCGGAAUUACUGGGCGUAAAGCGCACGUAGGCGGCUUGGUAAGUUAGAGGUGAAAGCCCAGGGCUCAACCCUGGAAUUGCCUUUAAGACUGCCGAGCUAGUAGGUGAGAGAGGUAAGUGGAAUUCCGAGUGUAGAGGUGAAAUUCGUAGAUAUUCGGAAGAACACCAGUGGCGAAGGCGGCUUACUGGCUCAUUCUAGACGCUGAGGUGCGAAAGCGUGGGGAGCAAACCGGAUUAGAUACCCCGGUAGUCCCGUCUCUUAUACC
This 301-nucleotide ribosomal RNA is filed under the name uncultured bacterium. RNAcentral describes it as "partial 16S ribosomal RNA". It matches the Rfam family "Bacterial small subunit ribosomal RNA", at positions 509 to 808 of the family's 1533-position model. The record is from RNAcentral.